This 290-nucleotide unclassified non-coding RNA is filed under the name Melitaea cinxia (Glanville fritillary). RNAcentral's name for it is "misc RNA ENSMCXG00005012748.1". Lineage: Eukaryota; Metazoa; Arthropoda; Insecta; Lepidoptera; Nymphalidae. The record is from RNAcentral.
AGGUUAGGUUAGGUUAGGUUUUUUUUUUUUUUUUUUUUUUUUUUUUUUUUUUUUUUUUUUUUUUUUUUUUUUUUUUUUUUUUUUUAUCGUUAGGUUAGGUUUUUUUUUUUUUUUUUUUUUUUUUUUUUUUUUUUUUUUUUUUUUAUCUAUACCUCCGACAUGUGGGUCGGAGCACGUUUUCUGCAAUUACUCUUUCAUUCCAGUUCUCGCUUUCAUGCCUCUCGUACUUUCAUGCCGCAUACUUGUUCUUUCUUUCAUACAUCUCUCUCUUACUCGGGGUGGGUUCCCCA